Long non-coding RNA from Cygnus olor (mute swan), 3772 nucleotides. RefSeq lists it as uncharacterized. The record is from RefSeq and is a predicted model, not a curated record. Lineage: Eukaryota; Metazoa; Chordata; Aves; Anseriformes; Anatidae. The transcript has 3 exons.
UCAUGAUGUAGAUGUCUGCCACCUGGCACAAUUAAAGACAGUAGGUCUAAUACAUGCUUUGCUGUGAGAUUUCUUAAGUCACUCAGGUAUUGUCCCUACGGGUUUAGUUCCUCAUUCGUAGCUCACAUUUCUCUGGUCGUGCAAGCACAAAAAGGCAACUUGCUGUCAUGGACUGCGAAGAGCAAGUCAGCUAAAUGUGGGACGUUCCUGUUUGUCCCAGACUCAAUGUAAGCUGGCACAAAUGAAGUACCUCUCUGAAGUUAUUUUUCAGUUAAAGUAAUUGUUCUCCAUGCUGCCUCAAUUUGUGGUGAUCACAGAUAAAGGAAGAGAUGAAGGAAAGGGAAUAUCCAUGGGCGAUUUAGCCGGUUCCCUGGCUGGACUGUGAUGAGAUCCAGCAGGUCAUUGCCAUAACUAAUAACCAAGAUUUUAUCGAGCACAAAAUAAAAAGGAGAAAAGUUUUCCACAUGUAUUAACUGAGUUUGUCGGAGCAGUACCAGGUAAUGGCACAGCCUGGCCGUUGCUCAUGGCAGAGCAAUCUCCCAAACCAGGCAAGCGAUAGCCAGAGGAGCGUUCAGAGAACUGGCUCAGCCAGUGCAAGUGUCUUUUUGCGGCAGACUGCCAUAAUGAGAGGAUAUUCUGCUCUCCAGGGGACACGGGCUUCUGUUCCCUACAGCGUGGAAUUCCCCGGCCGCUCUUAUUCACAAGCAGCCUUUGACUCGAGGAUGUCCAUCUACCCGGUUACAGGAGCGGUUGUGAUCGGUCCCCUUUGGAGCUGUUACUUGUGCUCUUGUAGACCGGGAGCAUAGCCUCGGGGCAGAGUACUGCAUGGAAAAGGACUGGGCAAGCCCGAGACAUAAAAAUGUCCCCCAAGGAUUUACAACCUAGACAUGACGGAAGGAAGCAAAUGGUUUUAGAUGGAUGGAAGUAAAGGAAGCAAUGAGACUCGGUUCGCCAGCACGAUUAGCAGUGCUCUCAGCACAGUGUCCGUGCAAACGCUGGUAAACUUCUGUGGGCAUUACGGCAAAGAAGAGAGAGAUGUGAAAGCAGAUGAGGAGGCGAUGCGGGUAAAUAUCGACACAGUGAUGGGCACUCGGGGGACAGCAGGACAACGUUAUAUUUUCAAGGAGUGCGAUGGGCAGUGGAGUUCGGUCGUAUGGGACCCGUGGCUGUCCCAGCACACAGCCUUUUUGCCUAACGUCAGCCUGUCUCCUCCACGUUCUGCUCGCUUUGCUUAUCAAAGCUGAUAGUGUUGCCUUGUGUCAACUAGGAGAAGGGUGUGUCUAAUUUGACAACUUUGCUUUCAUAAGCAUUGCUUCAGUGAUGUUUGUGCAACCACACUGGAAUAUGAUUUUAUCUUGUCACUUGUAAUUACCAUUAAUGAUUUGCAUAAUAGCCAUUAGGCAUCAGUUAUUAAAUACUUCUUUGAUGUGAUACUGAGCCGGCUCCAGACCUCAUGCUCCCAUCCUUCAAAUGCAGACCAUGACUUUUUUUCUGGCUAGUGACUCACUGAUUUAUACCACCAGGUUUAGCAAAAUUCCUGUAAGGCAACCGAAACAAUUGCCACAUGGAGCUUGAUAAUAGUGUGAUCUUAGGUCUUAAAUGCACCUCGGUGACGAAGGUGAUAACUCUGUGAAAGAAACUGAAAGUUCCUUUCUUGCUGACUGUUCACAUCUUCAAACUACCUCUGAACAUUUGCUAGUGAUGAAGUUCAGCAGAAUAUGGAGGUGGAGAGAGACGGAUUUCUUCCUCCUGAAGCUCACAGCCUUUCCUGAUUCACUUUGUGGAGGGUUUUAAUUUCUUUCCAGCACCAACAGACGAUGACAGUGCCACCAGGCUUCCCAGCCUUUGCACCUCUGGAAGCACUGCUGAUUUCCAUGGCAAAGGAAUAGAAGAGAAUUUGUGUUAGGAUAGAUGGGAAUACUGACGGCUGAAUGAAACUAGAACAACCUCGCUGCUGCAUGGAAAGCUGUUUCCAGCUAAAACAAGGCUAAAACAAGGUUUUAGCCUGUGGUCCCUGCUGGCAGAGCCAUUUGGGUCAAACCAGAACCCGGCAGGCAGGACUGGAGUAUUUCAGGUGCUUCCUGAGCUCGGGUACUGUGCAGUGGCACAACAGACAGGUGGCCAAAGGCACAGGCCAGCCAGAGCCCCCCUUAAGAGUUUUCUUCUUAUCUUUAUUUAAUACUUGCACUAGUAUGUCUGUUUUCAAUGCACCUUCAGUAUGUGGUUAUACAAGCAGUUUAAAUGAAAUUAUUCAGUGUAUUGGGCUGAGAAAUCUCCUGCUUGAUUAUAGUAGUAAUUUACUUAUGUAAAUACUUCUUUAUAAAUGUUACACAACCCAAGAAACAAAAAUACAGGUUCCACAGAUAGUUACAAGGGUGUGAGUGAGAUGGUACCCGUCUGCAUCUUUCAUAAAACAGACUUUUAUAGAGAAAUUAUAGUUUGUACAUUAUACCAAAACAUGGCUUAGUAUUAAAAAUAUAUCGUGCCUGUAAUCAGGUAUAAUUGCGUGUGCAGUGGAGUCCUUAGCUCAUGGCUGAUUUCCAGCAUUAGCACUUUGCGAAUCUAAUUGUUUUACUUCUGCUUCUUCGCUCAUGUCUUAAACCUCUGGUAUGUUCACUCCUCAGGGAUUUUUUCUGAUGAUGCUGUAAUUGGCAUGUGUCUGUUCUCCCUGUAAAAAAGGUGCUGUGUCUGCCAGGGCGAUCACAGCGCGUCUCAUCGACCCCGCGGGUGGCGAUGCCGAUAGCUCCUGCUCACCCGCCGGAGUGCUGAGGCAGCUCUCCCUCGUCUCCCUGCGGCACCCACCCCUGCUCUUUUUAUCCUUAGAUUCCUCUCCCAGUCUUACACCUUCAGCCUAAGUCUCUGUCUGUCCUUGACCUACUCCUCCAUGCUGGCUUUCCAAGAUUUGCACAAUAAGGAAAGAGCGAGCUCUUGCAGGCUGUGCUGGCGCGGGUGACCACCCGUGAGAGUACAGCAGGAGUUGGUCUGCAGGAAGCUGCAGCAGCGCCCCGGGUCACUUGUGUCCUGUCGUCCAUGCACUGCACCUUCUGCGUUUCGUUUGUCUUCCCUUGCUGCCUCUUCCUGUGCUGUUCCAGCUUAGAAAUCGUGCAGGUUAUGAAGUCUUUGGGCAGGGGAGGCACCUCUAUGUUUCUGCAUAGCGUUUAAUGCAGCGACCUCGGAGGUGCUGCAGACAGGUUAAAUAACGCUGAAGGAGUGCAAUUGGUGCUGCUGGGGCUGCAGGUACAGAACAAACCACAGCACUGAGCGCAGAGCCUUGUCCACAAGCUUGUUACAGCAAUUACCCCGCGGGGGCAGGAGCUGCCUCUCGCUCGGCCAGUGAUGGGAGAGGCCAUCCCCAGAGGGACAUCUGGGGCUGUCCCUCGAUUGCUUCGCCGCUGGCCCUCCGUGAAGAGCCGUCUCCGUAAAGGCACAGCUCGGAGCCGAAAGGGCAGAGCAUGAGAGAUGUCACAGCAGCAGACCAGGCUUUCUGCAGAGCGAGAAAGAAAGCUGGCUACAAAAAGUCCCAUCUUUGCUGAAAUUUUUGCCAAGAGAAUAAUUAAGGCUCAUCAUCUCCCCUGAAGUCUUCUUGUUGGAAGCCUUCGUGUUGGAUUUGUGUAUAAGGAAAAAGAAACCCUCUGCAGCUCCUCACCGCCCAGAAAAACCUGGACAUCUCUCGUCCUCCUCUUCCCUGAGAAAAUGGCUGGGCUAAAGCAGCAGCUCGUGGCCACCCUUACAGGCUCCUGGAGGACACCUCACCUCUCUCCCCAGAGCGCAC